GGGACGGGGAGGCCUCACCUUGUCUCCCGGGAGGCAAGCGCCGCCGCCGUCCCGCAGUUGCUAAGGAGAAUGCUCUUCCGGGUCAUGGGCGCAGAGUUAUGGAGGCAACGGUGGCCGGGAGGGGCCAAAAGCGAGGCGCGGGAAUGCCAAAAUCAGACCAAGAGGAUUUGACCUAGGAGGACUUGAAGAAGGAACGGAACAGCACCCAGGGCAUCUUGCUGAUUAGAAUAUUUUGGAAAAAAAUGAAAACUGAAGAUAAGCUGGAUGCUCACCUCUCCCAACUGCGACCCACAGAAUACUGCACUAGAGAAAGUGAAAAGUUACACAUCCUCCUGUGACGUGGACUGACUGCCAUGAGUUAGUAUGGACUUAGUAAAUGGUGAGAGCUGCUACCUAAGUACUGCCAGGAAGAGAUGGCUAAACGUCAGUAAUUUUAAAACAUCAUGCUUUCUGGACAAAGUUUUCUCA
Molecule: long non-coding RNA, 468 nt
Organism: Globicephala melas (long-finned pilot whale)
Lineage: Eukaryota; Metazoa; Chordata; Mammalia; Artiodactyla; Delphinidae
Source: RefSeq, a predicted model, not a curated record